RNAcentral lists this ribosomal RNA (1023 nucleotides) under uncultured bacterium. Its description in RNAcentral is "bacterial SSU rRNA". It matches the Rfam family "Bacterial small subunit ribosomal RNA", at positions 443 to 1477 of the family's 1533-position model. The record is from RNAcentral.
UUAGUACGAACGCAGCGAAAGUACUGUGCUGCAGAAGAAGCACUGGCUACUACGUGCCAGCAGCGCGGUAUACGUAGGGUGCUAAGCGUAUCCGGAGUAUUGGGCGUAAAGAGCUCGUAGGCGGUUUGUCGCGUCUGCUGUGAAAACUGGAGGCUCAACCUCCAGCCCUGCAGUGGGUACGGGCAGACUAGAGUGCGGUAGCGGAGAUUGGAAUUCCUGGUGUAGCGGUGGAAUGCGCAGAUAUCAGGAGGAACACCGAUGGCGAAGGCAGAUCUCUGGGCCGUAACUGACGCUGAGGAGCGGAAGCAUGGGGAGCGAACAGGAUUAGAUACCCUGGUAGUCCAUGCCGUAAACGUUGGGAACUAGAUGUAGGGACCAUUCCACGGUUUCUGUGUCGCAGCUAACGCAUUAAGUUCCCCGCCUGGGGAGUACGGCCGCAAGGCUAAAACUCAAAGGAAUUGACGGGGGCCCGCACAAGCGGCGGAGCAUGCGGAUUAAUUCGAUGCAACGCGAAGAACCUUACCAAGGCUUGACAUAUACCGGAAAAGUUCAGAAAUGUUCUCCCCGCAAGGUCGGUAUACAGGUGGUGCAUGGUUGUCGUCAGCUCGUGUCGUGAGAUGUUGGGUUAAGUCCCGCAACGAGCGCAACCCUCGUUCUAUGUUGCCAGCACGUAAUGGUGGGAACUCAUAGGAGACUGCCGUGGUCAACACGGAGGAAGGUGGGGAUGACGUCAAAUCAUCAUGCCCCUUAUGUCUUGGGCUUCACGCAUGCUACAAUGGCCGAUACAAAGGGCUGCAAUACCGUAAGGUGGAGCGAAUCCCAAAAAGUCGGUCUCAGUUCGGAUUGAGGUCUGCAACUCGACCUCAUGAAGUCGGAGUCGCUAGUAAUCGCAGAUCAGCAACGCUGCGGUGAAUACGUUCCCGGGCCUUGUACACACCGCCCGUCAAGUCAUGAAAGUCGGUAACACCCGAAGCCAGUGGCCCAACCGCAAGGAGGGAGCUUCGAAGGUGAUACGAAUGUUCC